GCUUACGGCCAUACCAGCCUGGGUACGCCCGAUCUCGUUUGAUCUCGGAAGCUAAGCAGGGUCGGGCCUGGUUAGUACUUGGAUGGGAGACCGCCUGGGAAUACCAGGUGCUGUAGGCA
RNAcentral lists this ribosomal RNA (119 nucleotides) under Salmo salar (Atlantic salmon). Lineage: Eukaryota; Metazoa; Chordata; Actinopteri; Salmoniformes; Salmonidae. The record is from RNAcentral.